RNAcentral lists this ribosomal RNA (323 nucleotides) under uncultured bacterium. Its description in RNAcentral is "bacterial SSU rRNA". It matches the Rfam family "Bacterial small subunit ribosomal RNA", at positions 28 to 334 of the family's 1533-position model. The record is from RNAcentral.
GAUGAACGCUGGCGGCGUGCCUAACACAUGCAAGUCGAACGGACAUUUUUUGGAAAGCUCUUCGGAACUGGAAUCUAAAUGUUAGUGGCGGACGGGUGAGUAACGCGUGAGCAAUCUGCCUUUCAGAGGGGGAUAACAGCCGGAAACGGCUGCUAAUACCGCAUAAGCGCACAGCAUCGCAUGAUGCAGUGUGAAAAACUCCGGUGGUGUGAGAUGGACCCGCGUUGGAUUAGCUAGUUGGCAGGGCAGCGGCCUACCAAGGCGACGAUCCAUAGCCGGCCUGAGAGGGUGAACGGCCACAUUGGGACUGAGACACGGCCCAG